RNAcentral lists this unclassified non-coding RNA (1376 nucleotides) under Bombus terrestris (buff-tailed bumblebee). RNAcentral describes it as "misc RNA ENSBTSG00005033014.1". The record is from RNAcentral. Lineage: Eukaryota; Metazoa; Arthropoda; Insecta; Hymenoptera; Apidae.
AUUGAAUUAUUUACAUUUCCUGAAUGAUGAAGUUUGUAUUCUAAUGUAUGGUGCCAACGUGUAGUGAAAUUAUUUUCUCACGGAUAUCUUUCGUUUAGAUUUGGUAUCGUAUUGUUGCUGUAAGGCAUCUUCUCGUUUGAAUUCAUGCAACAGACAGAAACGACUUCUCGGAAGAAGUACUUUGUUUGUGAAAGACAUUUUGCAAUAUUAACAGGGCAGAAGUAAAACGCCGUGCCAGCCAGUUUGCUUUAUAAAAUACAUAAUACAACGCUGAAGCUUUCAGUACGUGGAUAACGUAAACAUUCUCUCGUGGCGGGGCGUGGGUAUUAAUAAAACAUUAUACACAAAAAUCCGCGAGAAUCCCGCAACAACCCGAUGGAACAAACAGCUUCGACGAACAUCAAGCUGCCUUAACUUUGCGAUCGAGAACUUGGCAAACUUUGUUAAACACUAGCCGUGCAAUUUUCAUAACGGGGAAAAAUAUGCUUCUCGAUCCGUUAUUUGUUGAAAAUGGCAGAAAAACGAUUAAACGUUAUCAAAACAUAAAAAAUUCAACGGAGAGGAUUGUUAUUUAUUUGUAAUUAGAUAUUUCAAGCAAUCAGAUUGACUUGGUUUAAAAAAUUCAAUUAAAAGCAUGCAAUUCCUACAAAGCACGGAACGUAUUAAUGAUUCAAUUGAUGCAAUAAAACUUUCCGUUCUAACGUAAAUAUCCUCAACCAAUUUAUUCCAUUCGAUUAUUAAUUUAAUCUUUUGAAAAAUAGCUGUCCAACCUCGAGCUUUCGUCUGUCACUUUCAAAUUCAACGUGUUCGCGAUGCCGAGGUUCAAGGAGCCACGAAACAAGCGAACUUCUUUUCUUUUUCUUCUUCUUUCUUAAUUGCUUACCUCCCGUCACCGUUUCCAGCGUGAACGCAUUAAAUCGCCAGUUGCUAGCCUUCUGUAACACGCACUGCAACAAACCAUCAAAUAUCGCAUUAGGUCGACAGUGAAAUAAACGAUUGCCGCUAGAAAGGGUUGAAACGUGUUCCCGAGCACAAUGUCACUGUAAUGGAACAACCGUGUCCAUUUCUCGAGAAUAUAAUAAAAUAAAUCAUUAAGGAUCUGGAACGUGGCUCUGUUAAUCGAACUCUCUCGUGUCGUUUCGUGAAAUAUCUCGGAGCAAUAGCAAGCUUCAAUAAACGCGUAAUAAUACAUACGUGGGUCAGUGAUUCAAAGAGAGCUUUCAAUAAAUUUCAAACCUUCUGUUAUAGAAACUUUCGAACGUAUUGAAUACAAAAGUUUCGCAGAAUGCUUGCCACAUGUUCCUUUGCGUUUAUUUCGUUUAUUAGCGAACAGAAUUAAUAGCAAAUUAAGGAUAUGACUAAUAAUUAAAUUGAUG